AAACACAAGGGAGUCGGUGAAAGUGAAAGCAGAUCACAGGAGAAAACGACAGAAUGGCUGCUAGCGUAUCACAGUCUGUAGAGGAAUGCCUCUUCUCUGUGCUACGAUACGUUUCUGAAUCCUGUUAUCUUGUUGUGCGGUCACAGCUUCUGUAAGGGCUGUCUUCAGGAGUGGUGGAGACAGAGUACACUACAGACGUGACCUGUCUGUAAGAAUGUUUUUCAUAUGGUUGUACCUCCAUGUAAUCUGGCACUGAGAAACUUGUCUGACAACCUGAGACAAGUGAGGACCCAGAGAGUGGUGUCAAGAUCUGAGGAGUUUUGCAGCCUUCAGUGAGAAAUUUAAGCUCUUCUGUCAGGAUGACCAGCAGCUCAUCCGUGUGAUCUGUAGGGAUUCAAAAAAAUAAAAAGCACAACUGCACCCCCAUCAAUGAAGCAGCUGAAGACUAUAAGAUCUCACUGUAAUCUGUCAGAACCUAAGACUCCACCAGGAGCCCUGGUCGAUGAGGCCGAGCAUCUAGGGAACCUGCUGUUCACAGUCUGGAAGAAGAUGAAGAAUAUAAUCCAAUACAUUAGGCUCUGUCACUCUGGAUCCCAACAACGCUGGCUGUGGAUUAAUCUUAUCAAACCGUUUAACUUGUUCAAUGCUUAGUGAGAAGGUUCUGCAGCUCCUUAACAACCUAGAGAGAAGAAGUGACCUUACUGUUGUUGGCUUAAGCUCUGGAAAACAUAUCUGGGAUGUGGAGGUAGAUGGUUCCUGGGUGGUUGGUGUGUCUGCUAGAAUCAAACACAAAACCUCGCCAAUGAUUUGGGGCAUUUACCUGUAUGAUCCUGAUGGAUCAGUGGCUGAACUUCCUUCAGAAGUAGCCAUAAAUUCAAAAGGUUUAGUAUUCAAAAAGCUCAGAGCGCACCUGGAUUAUGACCAAGGACUACUGUCGUUUUUUUGGCCUUGACAGGAAAACGCCUGUACACACCAUCAGGCACACUUUCUGACUGAAUACUCACAGUGGUGCAGUGAUUAGGAGCUCAGUCUGCAACAUCACUUUGUGCAUCCACCAUCCAUCCCAACUACCACCUGGCAACUCUAAUGCAGUUCAUGAGUGUAACACUUCAGUCAUUCAAAAAACGUGACCUCUGAACAUAAUCUAGUCAAAAAUAUACUUUUACCACCACAGCAUGUUGGGAAAAUAGUUUCCUCUCAGUAACUGGGGUUCUUUUUUAACAUACUGUAAUUAAAUGUAUGCUUUUGGUUGA
Long non-coding RNA from Monopterus albus (swamp eel), 1253 nucleotides. RefSeq lists it as uncharacterized. Lineage: Eukaryota; Metazoa; Chordata; Actinopteri; Synbranchiformes; Synbranchidae. The record is from RefSeq and is a predicted model, not a curated record. The transcript is spliced from 3 exons.